CCUACGGGAGGCAGCAGUGAGGAAUAUUGGUCAAUGGACGAGAGUCUGAACCAGCCAAGUAGCGUGAAGGAUGACUGCCCUAUGGGUUGUAAACUUCUUUUAUAUGGGAAUAAAAUGUUCCACGUGUGGGCUUUUGUAUGUACCCUAUGAAUAAGGAUCGGCUAACUCCGUGCCAGCAGCCGCGGUAAUACGGAGGGUCCGAGCGUUAUCCGGAUUUAUUGGGUUUAAAGGGAGCGUAGGUGGAUUGUUAAGUCAGUUGUGAAAGUUUGCGGCUCAACCGUAAAAUUGCAGUUGAAACUGGCAGUCUUGAGUACAGUAGAGGUGGGCGGAAUUCGUGGUGUAGCGGAGAAAUGCUUAGAUAUCACGAAGAACUCCGAUUGCGAAGGCAGCUCACUGGACUGCAACUGACACUGAGGCUCGAAAGUGUGGGUAUCAAACAGGAUUAGAUACCCUGGUAGUC
This 460-nucleotide ribosomal RNA is filed under the name uncultured bacterium. RNAcentral's name for it is "partial 16S ribosomal RNA". It matches the Rfam family "Bacterial small subunit ribosomal RNA", at positions 338 to 795 of the family's 1533-position model. The record is from RNAcentral.